RNAcentral lists this ribosomal RNA (502 nucleotides) under uncultured bacterium. RNAcentral describes it as "partial 16S ribosomal RNA". It matches the Rfam family "Bacterial small subunit ribosomal RNA", at positions 30 to 523 of the family's 1533-position model. The record is from RNAcentral.
AUUGAACGCUGGCGGCAUGCCUUACACAUGCAAGUCGAACGGCAGCACGGGAGCAAUCCUGGUGGCGAGUGGCGAACGGGUGAGUAAUAUAUCGGAACGUGCCCAGUCGUGGGGGAUAACGCAGCGAAAGCUGUGCUAAUACCGCAUACGAUCUACGGAUGAAAGCGGGGGACUCGCAAGGGCCUCGCGCGAUUGGAGCGGCCGAUAGCAGAUUAGCUAGUUGGUGAGGCAAAGGCUCCCCAAGGCGACGAUCUGUAGCUGGUCUGAGAGGACGACCAGCCAAACUGGAACUGAGACACGGUCCAGACUCCUACGGGAGGCAGCAGUGGGGAAUUUUGGACAAUGGGCGCAAGCCUGAUCCAGCAAUGCCGCGUGCAGGAUGAAGGCCUUCGGGUUGUAAAAUGCUUUUGUACGGAGCGAAACGGUCUCUUCUAAUACAGGGGGCUAAUGACGGUACCGUAAGAAUAAGCACCGGCUAACUACGUGCCAGCCGCCGCCGUAA